Long non-coding RNA from Pezoporus flaviventris, 1356 nucleotides. RefSeq lists it as uncharacterized. The transcript is spliced from 3 exons. The record is from RefSeq and is a predicted model, not a curated record. Lineage: Eukaryota; Metazoa; Chordata; Aves; Psittaciformes; Psittacidae.
AAGCCUUCAAAGAAAUUAUUGAGAUGCAGGGUUGUUUGAAGGGUAUCACCAUAUGUUUGCUUUGGAAGUAGAAGUUGAAGGCCACCAGAAAUCAGUUUUCCUGUGGGUUGCUAUGACAUGCAAGGCUUCAGAGGUUACAAAGGAUGUUACUGCUCAAAGGUCUUGGGGAUUUCUUGGAUUCUCUGACCUAGAUGAGAGGCAGUUGAUAUCUUCCUUCUGUAUCUGGAAUAAACUGCAGUUCAUGACUGAUAUUACUUCGAGAUUUAAGAAAGGUCAUUCUUCUAACCAAAGGCCAUCAUGUGUGACAGGGUCUUUCUAGUGCUGGUAACGGAACAAAGAUGUUCUGCCCACCUUAGUUCGGUUCCGAUGUCGCAGGAUCUCUCUGUACUGGGGGACGCUUGCUCGCUCGCCCGCCCUGGUGCUCUCGCACCUUCGCGCCCGCACUGCUCUCGUGAGCCGGGGCGCCGCGGCCACUUCAGCACCCUGGCCAGAGCCCCGAGGCGGGGCCGCAGCUGAGCCCCUGAGCUCUGAGAGCUUUGGGCUCUGCCUCGCCAGUGGGCAUCACUGGGGCCUGGGGCCUGGCUGCUGCUAUUUGCACAGCUGAGGUGACGGUGGCACAUUUUGGGCAUUGACUGUGCAUGUUGGCUCUCUGAUGUGCUUCAGCCUGCAGUGCUUCAGGCCUUCAGUCUGCACAGCUGUGAGCUAGGAUUCCUGGCCUGCAUUCCAGCUCAUCUGGUGACAUGUAUUGUACCUCUGAAAGUGUCAUACAGUUCCACACUCCCAGUUUCCGACCCUGUGUUCUGUGAUCAUUAACAAGGAAUAAUGUGGUGUUGCAAGAUGUUAUAUGUGCAAACACUGUUUAGUAAAUGAAUAUUUAGAGAGUGUUCUUUGACAGCUUCUGAGGCAGUUCUUGGGAGUUUCAGCUAACCGUACCCCUAUUACAGCUACAGUUUGAGAGUGGGAUAUUUUAACAAAUCGGGGAAAAAUAAGGACCUCAGACCUCCUAUGUCUUCAUGCACUACUGUUUUUAUAGUCUGUUGCUCAUGCACCAUUAUUAUACUGAUUUCUUGGGCUGCACUGCAUGUAAAUACUUAGCCUUGAAAUAAUUUAAUGAUGCACAACUAAUGACGUGGAGGAAUGACUGGAGAGGUGGCAUUUUAGGUGAAUCACAGCUUAUUCUACAAAUUAUUUAUAGACUGCUGUCUCUUUCUGACUGGAUGUCAGCUACCUGGCAACAAGCCAGAGUGCUUCUGAAUCAUCUAGUAUAGUUGUUACGGCUUUCAGAGGAGGGCAAAAGAGAUUAAGGAAGGCUCACUUUGUAUCUUUUAAUAAGCAAUAAACAGUCCAAUGAAAAAG